UGGUUCUGGCAUCGAUGAAGAACGCAGCGAAAUGCGAUAAGUAAUGUGAAUUGCAGAAUUCAGUGAAUCAUCGAAUCUUUGAACGCACAUUGCGCCCGCUAGUAUUCUGGCGGGCAUGCCUGUUCGAGCGUCAUUUCAACCCCUCAAGCCCCGCGCUUGGUGUUGGGGCGCACCCGGGGAGCCGCCCAGCGGCCCCGGGCCCCCUAAAGUCAUCGGCGGACGCCCUGUGUGGACUCCGAGCGCAGUAGUUUACUCCUCGCUCUGGUGGACCGGGGCGGCCUUCUAGCCGCUAAACCCCCAAAACUUCUAAGGUUGACCUCGGAUCAGGUAGGAAUACCCGCUGA
RNAcentral lists this unclassified non-coding RNA (344 nucleotides) under uncultured fungus. Its description in RNAcentral is "partial contains 5.8S ribosomal RNA and internal transcribed spacer 2". The stretch from base 1 to 133 matches the Rfam family "5.8S ribosomal RNA", at positions 22 to 154 of the family's 154-position model. The record is from RNAcentral. Lineage: Eukaryota; Fungi.